UCCACAGUGUUGACGAGGAUACAGUGAUACAGAUGAAAUCCUCGACACAUGUUCCAAUGAUGAGUCAGAGCUUUUACUUCUUCCUGUUAUUGUCUCACUCACAGUGAUGCAACAAGGUCAAGUGUUAUAGAGCAGACGGUUGGCUCAUUGGUGGGCAGGGCCGAGCAUGACUCACACGUCUGUCAGUGAAAAUAUUUAUAUUAGCGUGAACUUUGGAGCUUUGUGUAACACAACGACGUCUUGCUCCUCCCACGUAACAUGGGCUACAAACACUUGCCUUCCGUUUGUCGGUGAGUGAAUAACCUAACUCAUCGACCACAGCUUUUGAUUCAUGUGAGGAAAAGUAGAUUUAUAAUAUCUGUGUCGGGAAAAUCAUCUCAAAUCAUCUGUGAUGUCGACAAUGAAGCACAUCCCAUGUUCUGCUUGGACAUCCUGGUUUGAGUUCAAAGGUUUUUUGGAUUCUUGUUCAAAUGAAAAAAGGUGAUGCUGAAAAACAACAAAUACUCUGAGAUGAAGUGAACGUACCUGUCCAGUAGAACCAGAACCAGAACCAGAGCCACCAUGACAUCAGCACCGAUGCUCACUCUGGUCUUGGGUCGAUCUGCAUCAGACUUCUUCCUGAAGAACAUCUUUGAUUUGCAACCGACACCUUUUCUGUGUAACGUUGCUGCAACGAUCCAAUGACUUCUACUCGUACUUCAUAUGAUUGGAUGGUGUUUUUACUCACCUGACAUUAGUAAUGUUUGUUACAAUCACAACACAAAUGAUCUUUCAUUGUUUGAGUAAUGCUCCCAUAAACAGUGAUUAGCUCAUGUUAGCUUUAUAAACCAUGAAUACCUUCAUUAACCUGAAUAACACCAUUAAAUGGUUUGUUAAAACAUUAGCAGUUAAUAUUAAAUAAUGUCCCCUUGUUGUAAAAAUGUGUUUAUUUAUUGACGCGUCACGGAGGAGACACUGAUGGCUACACACACACA
This is a long non-coding RNA of Solea solea (common sole), 974 nucleotides long. RefSeq lists it as uncharacterized. The transcript is spliced from 3 exons. The record is from RefSeq and is a predicted model, not a curated record. NCBI's taxonomy places the organism in Eukaryota, Metazoa, Chordata, Actinopteri, Pleuronectiformes, Soleidae.